UUCAUCCGCCUUCGAACUUGAGUCGAUAUUUCACUGCUAAGCCUACAAUGCAACAAUGAAGAAAGAAGUUUCGUAUCAUCAUCUUUAAUUUUAGGGUUCGGAAAUGGAUCAUCAAAUUCUUUCAUUCCCACUUACAUUAGCCACAAACGUUUCAGAAAUUUAUGUUCAAUUUUGUAUCGUCGUUCCUAGAAGUGGAGAAAUUUGCAGUUCAAUAGCGCAGUUUGUUUCGGAGUUUCCAUAAUCCAUUACCUACCUCUGCUCCAUAAAUUCCUGCAAGAUUCAGAUAAUAAGUUGAGAUUGCUCCAGAGGUGAACGACUUCGGGUGACAUCAUGUCACGUCUCGGGAUGGGCAACCAGGUGCUCGAGACAGGGUGUGACAUCCACUCUAGACUCAUUUGAACGACUUCAAUCCUUACCCAUGUUUAUGCAUCGAGAGAUCCUUUUUCGAUGCUUUUUCGUUUAUCUCUCAACAAUUUUGUGUGUUGAAAGAUAUUCCCUUUCUUGUAGUGUUUAUAGCUUGGAAAAGUGGUUCAUUAUGUUGGACUUAGGACAUGUUUGUAGCUUUUGUGGUUGUGGGGGGGGGAUAUGAGUGUUCUAGUGGUGUUUUUACACUACAAAUUAUGUACACUAUGAAAGCAUCACUCUCUAUGUUUAAAUAAAGCUUUUUUCUUA
Molecule: long non-coding RNA, 672 nt
Organism: Cucumis sativus (cucumber)
Lineage: Eukaryota; Viridiplantae; Streptophyta; Magnoliopsida; Cucurbitales; Cucurbitaceae
Exons: 2
Source: RefSeq, a predicted model, not a curated record